GGGGGUGACUGGCUUCGACAGGGAAAUCGGUGUGCGUUUGCGCGAGCAAAGCUGUAGUAACUUUUAAAACUGCUACAAAAACCCAAGUGCGAAUAAAGUAGCACGUGCGAUUCUGUCACCUAUACAGGUGGCGGAUUUGCAGUUCGCUUACGCGAAAGCCUAAGCGACCGUCCGCGAGCUUGAUACUUGGUUAGGGCUCUCCGGGCGUCAAUUCUUCCAAGCACUGACAAGCGGUGGUCCGCUAGCUUGUCUAAGACAAAGGACUAGGGUGUGUAUGAUUCUGUUCAUCUUAUACAUAUGCAUCCGAAAUCAGAAUGCAAAUUCUGACAAGAUGUUCUACGCUUCGUAGACGCAUUCACACAUCUUUCUUUGGACUCGGGUCCGAUACCCGACACCUCCACAU
RNAcentral lists this transfer-messenger RNA (403 nucleotides) under bacterium. It matches the Rfam family "transfer-messenger RNA". From Rfam's summary of the family: Bacterial tmRNA, also known as 10Sa RNA or SsrA, is named for its dual tRNA and mRNA-like properties. The record is from RNAcentral.